RNAcentral lists this unclassified non-coding RNA (317 nucleotides) under Tomentella ferruginea. RNAcentral describes it as "sequence contains 5.8S rRNA gene". Lineage: Eukaryota; Fungi; Basidiomycota; Agaricomycetes; Thelephorales; Thelephoraceae. The record is from RNAcentral.
GAACGCACCUUGCGCCCUUUGGCUAUUCCGAAGGGCAUGCCUGUUUGAGUAUCAUGAACACCUCAACUCUCAUGGUUUGCCAUGAUGAGCUUGGACUUUGGGGGUCUUGCUGGCCUAUGGGUCAGCUCCUCUCAAAUGAAUCAGCUUGCCAGUGUUUGGUGGCAUCACAGGUGUGAUAACUAUCUACGCUUGUGGUUUUCCAUCAGGUAACCUUCAGUGAUGGAGGUUCGCUGGGGCUCAUAAAUGUCUCUCCUCGGUGAGGACAGCUUUUUGAACGUUUGAUCUCAAAUCAGGUAGGACUACCCGCUGAACUUAAG